GAUGAACGCUAGCGGCAGGCCUAACACAUGCAAGUCGAGGGGCAGCACAUAAAGUGGUUUACUACUUUUGGUGGCGACCGGCGGACGGGUGCGUAACGCGUAUGCAACCUGCCUCCAACAGGGGGAUAACGGAGAGAAAUUUCCACUAAUACCCCAUAAUAUCAGAAUCGGCAUCGGUUUUGGUUGAAAACUCCGGUGGUUGGAGAUGGGCAUGCGUUGUAUUAGAUAGUUGGUGAGGUAACGGCUCACCAAGUCAACGAUACAUAGGGGGACUGAGAGGUUAGCCCCCCACACUGGUACUGAGACACGGACCAGACUCCUACGGGAGGCAGCGGUGAGGAAUAUUGGUCAAUGGGGGCAACCCUGAACCAGCCAUGCCGCGUGCAGGAAGACGGCUCUAUGAGUUGUAAACUGCUUUUACAAGGGGAUAAAUCGGUGUACGUGUACACCGUUGAAGGUACCUUGGGAAUAAGGAUCGGCUAACUCUGUGCCAGCCGCCGCAGUAA
Molecule: ribosomal RNA, 506 nt
Filed under: uncultured bacterium
Lineage: Bacteria
Description: partial 16S ribosomal RNA
Rfam family: Bacterial small subunit ribosomal RNA
Source: RNAcentral